CUCGCCAUCAGUUGUCUGCGACAUCGAUGGGGGCAGAAAAAUCGCCAACUUGGCCAGCAGACUACGCACGUAGAAGACUGUGGGCUCGGUCAUCGGACCGGGGUUCAAUUCCCCGCGCCUCCACCA
This 126-nucleotide transfer-messenger RNA is filed under the name Bifidobacterium sp. RNAcentral's name for it is "partial transfer-messenger RNA". It matches the Rfam family "transfer-messenger RNA", at positions 255 to 374 of the family's 374-position model. From Rfam's summary of the family: Bacterial tmRNA, also known as 10Sa RNA or SsrA, is named for its dual tRNA and mRNA-like properties. Its role is to liberate the mRNA from a stalled ribosome. To accomplish this part of the tmRNA is used as a reading frame that ends in a translation stop signal. The record is from RNAcentral. Lineage: Bacteria; Bacillati; Actinomycetota; Actinomycetes; Bifidobacteriales; Bifidobacteriaceae.